Molecule: ribosomal RNA, 275 nt
Filed under: uncultured bacterium
Lineage: Bacteria
Description: partial 16S ribosomal RNA
Rfam family: Bacterial small subunit ribosomal RNA
Source: RNAcentral
GCGUGAGUGAUGAAGGCCUUAGGGUUGUAAAGCUCUUUCGACGGGGACGAUAAUGACGGUACCCGUAGAAGAAGCCCCGGCUAACUUCGUGCCAGCAGCCGCGGUAAUACGAAGGGGGCUAGCGUUGUUCGGAAUUACUGGGCGUAAAGCGCACGUAGGCGGACAUUUAAGUUGGAGGUGAAAGCCUUGGGCUCAACCCAAGAAUUGCCUUUGAUACUGGAUGUCUCGAGACCGGGAGAGGUGAGUGGAAUUCCGAGUGUAGAGGUGAAAUUCGU